CUACGGGGGGCUGCAGUGGGGAAUAUUGCACAAUGGAGGAAACUCUGAUGCAGCAACGCCGCGUGGAGGAUGACACUUUUCGGAGCGUAAACUCCUUUUAUAUGGGAAGAAGAUGACGGUACUAUAUGAAUAAGCGCCGGCUAACUCCGUGCCAGCAGCCGCGGUAAUACGGAGGGCGCAAGCGUUACUCGGAAUCACUGGGCGUAAAGAGCGUGUAGGCGGAUUAAAAAGUCAGAAGUGAAAUCCUAUAGCUUAACUAUAGAACUGCUUCUGAAACUCUUAAUCUAGAAUAUGGGAGAGGUAGAUGGAAUUUCUGGUGUAGGGGUAAAAUCCGUAGAGAUCAGAAGGAAUACCGAUUGCGAAGGCGAUCUACUAGAACAUUAUUGACGCUGAGACGCGAAAGCGUGGGGAGCAAACAGGAUUAGAUACCCGCGUAGUC
Molecule: ribosomal RNA, 439 nt
Filed under: uncultured bacterium
Lineage: Bacteria
Description: partial 16S ribosomal RNA
Rfam family: Bacterial small subunit ribosomal RNA
Source: RNAcentral